Molecule: ribosomal RNA, 381 nt
Filed under: uncultured Anoxybacillus sp.
Lineage: Bacteria; Bacillati; Bacillota; Bacilli; Caryophanales; Anoxybacillaceae
Description: bacterial SSU rRNA
Rfam family: Bacterial small subunit ribosomal RNA
Source: RNAcentral
GGAUCGGGCGUUCCCCCUUCGGGGGGACAGGGUGACAGGUGGUGCAUGGUUGUCGUCAGCUCGUGUCGUGAGAUGUUGGGUUAAGUCCCGCAACGAGCGCAACCCUCGACCUUAGUUGCCAGCAUUCAGUUGGGCACUCUAAGGUGACUGCCGGCUAAAAGUCGGAGGAAAGUGGGGAUGACGUCAAAUCAUCAUGCCCCUUAUGACCUGGGCUACACACGUGCUACAAUGGGCGGUACAAAGGGUCGCGAACCCGCGAGGGGGAGCCAAUCCCAAAAAGCCGCUCUCAGUUCGGAUUGCAGGCUGCAACUCGCCUGCAUGAAGCCGGAAUCGCUAGUAAUCGCGGAUCAGCAUGCCGCGGUGAAUACGUUCCCGGGCCUU